Molecule: long non-coding RNA, 448 nt
Organism: Drosophila bipectinata
Lineage: Eukaryota; Metazoa; Arthropoda; Insecta; Diptera; Drosophilidae
Source: RefSeq, a predicted model, not a curated record
UUUAAAUAUCGUGGCCCAGAAAUACCAAAGUUUAGUUGAAACUUUGUUCAGCUUCUUGAAAGCUCUUAAAAUAAUAAAAUAAUGAAUGUCCUAUUCUUUUUGCUAUUAGUUUCUGGCUUCAUGGCUACUGCUUUUAGUAAUGCUUUAAAAAGUAAUGCUCCUGAAAAAGAGUGUUUAGCAUGGACUGAAAAAUGCGUUGGAAAAGAAAAAUGGAGGAAAAUUCAAGCAGCAAGAGAGGCUGAAUACCGGAAGAAGUUAGGUUAUCCAUCUUAAAAAAGUCCAUCAGACAAAAAACAGCCCAAGUUAUAAGAGAUUUUCGGGGCACAACCUAAUAAGGACAUCUUAUAUGGUACUUUAGGAGUACCGAUUAUAAAAUCAUAACAGUCCGUAACUGGAUAGAAGCGAAAGACUAACAAAUCGGUUUAAUAAUAAAUUUAUUUAAAACAAA